UGUGGAAGCAUAGUGAUAUGUGAAGCUGACCAAUACUAAUUGCUCGUGAGGCUUGACUAUACAACACCCAAGCAGUUG
This 78-nucleotide ribosomal RNA is filed under the name Acinetobacter baumannii. Its description in RNAcentral is "partial 23S ribosomal RNA". The record is from RNAcentral. Lineage: Bacteria; Pseudomonadati; Pseudomonadota; Gammaproteobacteria; Moraxellales; Moraxellaceae.